GGAUUGUUACUGGAUUGUUUUGAAAGGGGUGGUAACGUCUGGAUUGUUACUGGAUUGUUGGAAAAGUGUGGUGACCUCUGGAUUGUUACCAGAUUGUUUGGAAAGGGGUGGUGACCUCUGGAUUGUUACUGGAUUGUUGGGAAGGGGUGGUGACCUCUGGAUUGUUACUGGAUUGUUGGGAAGGGGUGGUGACCUCUGGAUUGUU
This 205-nucleotide long non-coding RNA is filed under the name Homo sapiens (human). RNAcentral's name for it is "non-protein coding lnc-CCNL2-1:1". Lineage: Eukaryota; Metazoa; Chordata; Mammalia; Primates; Hominidae. The record is from RNAcentral.